GAUGAACGCUGGCGGCGUGCCUAAUACAUGCAAGUCGAGCGAACAGACGAGGAGCUUGCUCCUCUGACGUUAGCGGCGGACGGGUGAGUAACACGUGGAUAACCUACCUAUAAGACUGGGAUAACUUCGGGAAACCGGAGCUAAUACCGGAUAAUAUCUUGAACCGCAUGGUUCAAUAGUGAAAGACGGUUUUGCUGUCACUUAUAGAUGGAUCCGCGCCGCAUUAGCUAGUUGGUAAGGUAACGGCUUACCAAGGCAACGAUGCGUAGCCGACCUGAUAGGGUGGUAGGCGACACGGGAACUUAGACACGGUCCAGGCUCCUAAGGGAGGCAGCAGUAUGGAAUCUUCCGCAAUGGUCGAAAGCCUUACGGAGCAACCGCGCGUGAGUGAUGGAAGUCUUCCGAUCGUAAAACUCUGUUAUUAGGGAAGAACAAAUUUGUAAGUAACUAUGCACGUCUUGACGGUACCUAAUAAGAAAGCCACGGCUAACUACGUG
RNAcentral lists this ribosomal RNA (497 nucleotides) under uncultured bacterium. RNAcentral describes it as "partial 16S ribosomal RNA". It matches the Rfam family "Bacterial small subunit ribosomal RNA", at positions 28 to 507 of the family's 1533-position model. The record is from RNAcentral.